RNAcentral lists this ribosomal RNA (508 nucleotides) under uncultured bacterium. Its description in RNAcentral is "bacterial SSU rRNA". It matches the Rfam family "Bacterial small subunit ribosomal RNA", at positions 19 to 518 of the family's 1533-position model. The record is from RNAcentral.
CUGGCUCAGAACGAACGCUGGCGGCGCGUUUAAGCAUGCAAGUCGAGCGGCAAGGGCCUUCGGGCCCCUAGAGCGGCGGACGGGUGAGUAACACGUGGACAAUCUGCCCCCCGGCCCGGGAUAGCCCAGGGAAACCUGGAUUAAUACCGGAUGAGACGGGACCCGCGAUGGCGGGACCCGGGAAAGGCGCUGCGGCGCCGCCGGGGGAUGAGUCUGCGUCCCAUUAGCUAGACGGCGGGGUAACGGCCCACCGUGGCGACGAUGGGUAGCCGGCCUGAGAGGGUGGACGGCCACAUUGGAACUGAGACACGGUCCAGACUCCUACGGGAGGCAGCAGCUAAGAAUCUUCCGCAAUGGGCGAAAGCCUGACGGAGCGACGCCGCGUGAACGAAGAAGGCCGUGAGGUUGUAAAGUUCUUUUCGGGAGGGGGAACAACCGUGGCAGGGAAUGGCCGCGGGAUGACGUGAAUCCCGGAAUAAGCCCCGGCUAACUACGUGCCAGCAGCAGC